This 240-nucleotide unclassified non-coding RNA is filed under the name soil metagenome. RNAcentral's name for it is "partial contains 5.8S ribosomal RNA, internal transcribed spacer 2, and large subunit ribosomal RNA". The record is from RNAcentral.
AACAUCGCGCACCUGCGGGAACCUGCGGAAGGAUCAUUACAGAGUUGCAAAACUCCCUAAACCAUUGUGAACGUUACCUAAACCGUUGCUUCGGCGGGCGGCCCGGGUCCUUCCCGGCGCCCAUCGGCCCUCGCGGGCGCCCGCCGGAGGUAAACCAAACUAUUGCAUUGUAUGGCCUCUCUGAGUCUUCUGUACUGAAUAAGUCAGAACUUUUAACAACGGAUCUCAGAUCGGAAGAGC